GUAGUCAUAUGCUUGUCUCAAAGAUUAAGCCAUGCAUGUCUAAGUAUAAGCAAUUAUACCGUGAAACUGCGAAUGGCUCAUUAAAUCAGUUAUCGUUUAUUUGAUAGUACCUUACUACUUGGAUACCUGUGGUAAUUCUAGAGCUAAUACAUGCUAAAAACCCCGACUUCGGAAGGGGUGUAUUUAUUAGAUAAAAAACCAAUGCCCUUCGGGGCUCCUUGGUGAUUCAUAAUAACUUCUCAGAUCGCAUGGCCUUGCGCCGGCGACGGUUCAUUCAAAUUUCUGCCCUAUCAACUUUCGAUGGUAAGGUAUUGGCUUACCAUGGUGGCAACGGGUAACGGGGAAU
This 346-nucleotide ribosomal RNA is filed under the name uncultured fungus. Its description in RNAcentral is "SSU rRNA". It matches the Rfam family "Eukaryotic small subunit ribosomal RNA", at positions 20 to 370 of the family's 1831-position model. Lineage: Eukaryota; Fungi. The record is from RNAcentral.